UUAUGUGAUCGUCUCUCGCAUAUCAAUAAGCGGAGGAAAAGAAACUAACAAGGAUUCCCCUAGUAACGGCGAGUGAAGCGGGAAGAGCUCAAAUUUGAAAUCUUAAAGGGUUUCCCUUUACGAAUUGUAGUUUAAAGAAGUGUUUUCUGUUGAGGUUUUGGUAAAAGUUCUUUGGAAUAGGACAUCAUAGAGGGUGAGAAUCCCGUAUUUGACCUUUACUUUCAACUUUGUGAUACACUUUCAAAGAGUCGGAUUGUUUGGGAAUGCAGUCCAAAAUGGGUGGUAAAUUUCAUCUAAAGCUAAAUAUUGGCGAGAGACCGAUAGCGAACAAGUACCGUGAGGGAAAGAUGAAAAGAACUUUGAAAAGAGAGUUAAACAGUACGUGAAAUUGUCAAAAGGGAAGCGUUUGACACCAGUGUUGUUUUUCUGAAAAUCAAUUAAAGAACUGUUUAUGCUAAGUUGUUUAGACUUUAUCAGCUAAUCUGCUUAGUUUUGAGCUUUUCUUUAAUGCACUUUUCAGUUAACAAGUCAACAUCAAUUUCUUUUGCUGUAAAAAAGCUUGAGGAAGGUGGCUUGAGAUUCGUCUUAAGUGUUUAUAGCCUCUUGCCUAUGCAGUCGGAGAGAUUGAGGUCUGCAGCGUAGAUCCUUCGGGGCUAAAUGCAUUUGUGCUAAGUUAUAGCAUUUUAUAGACAACUUGUUGACUAUGAUUUGUCUUGUAGCUUACUCGCUUAUGUUAUUUUACCUACGCUUAGGAUGUUGAUCUACAGAGCGAGAGU
RNAcentral lists this ribosomal RNA (776 nucleotides) under uncultured Neocallimastigales. RNAcentral's name for it is "partial large subunit ribosomal RNA". It matches the Rfam family "Eukaryotic large subunit ribosomal RNA", at positions 24 to 631 of the family's 3401-position model. Lineage: Eukaryota; Fungi; Neocallimastigomycota; Neocallimastigomycetes; Neocallimastigales. The record is from RNAcentral.